This 874-nucleotide unclassified non-coding RNA is filed under the name Anneissia japonica. RNAcentral describes it as "cathepsin O-like, transcript variant X3". The record is from RNAcentral. Lineage: Eukaryota; Metazoa; Echinodermata; Crinoidea; Comatulida; Comatulidae.
GGCAUUUUCUAUCGUUGAAUGUAUGGAAACCCAGAAUGCUCUGAAAACUAAGAAAUUAAUCAGUUUGAGCACGCAGCAGUUAAUAGAUUGUGCCCGAGGGGGUGGUGACAAUGGUUGUAAGGGCGGUAACAUCUGUACAACAUUGGCUUGGAUGAAUGACACAAAGUACAAGGAAGUUCAUGAGAAAGACUACCCCUUCAAAGAAAAGACCGGAACCUGUAGGAACAGUAGUACUGGAAUUCUGUCUAUCAUGGACUACUGGUGUACUGAUAUGGUAAACCAUGAGGAUGAUAUGAUAGCCAGUCUAUAUAACCACGGACCAUUGGCAGUCGCAGUUGAUGCAUCAACAUGGCAAGAUUAUAUAGAGGGCGUGAUUCAACACCAUUGCUCAGCCAUGUAUAUCAACCACGCUGUUCAAAUUGUUGGCUAUGACAAAUCAGGUGAAAUACCGUACUAUAUUGUUCGAAACUCAUGGGGAAAAGACUGGGGAUUGAACGGUUACCUUCACGUAAAAAUUGGUUCAAAUAUGUGCGGUAUUGCUACGAUUGUCGGCUCCUUAGAUGUGUAGUUAAUAUAUAUUUAAUGUAUCAAUACAAACAGAAAAGUAAAGCUAUUCUAAUAGCGUAUAUAUACAAAGAAUGCAAACAAAUACAAAAUGACAUGGUCUACUUUUCAAAAUGAAUACUGUGAAUUUUUACAAUUAGUAUUGUGGCAUUUAUUUAACUGGCAUUAAAUCACCUAAACUACAUCAUCUCGAGGUUUUACAAAUAAGAUAUCUGAGUCAGUGGACCUUUCAGUAUGAUUACUGUACUGUACUAUCCUUUUGAAUUACAUCCUGCAAUAUUAUCUAAGAGUGAAAUAUUGCAUAUCUUUU